AACGAACGCUGGCGGCAUGCCUAACACAUGCAAGUCGAACGAGACCUUCGGGUCUAGUGGCGCACGGGUGCGUAACGCGUGGGAACCUGCCCUUAGGUUCGGAAUAACUCCCCGAAAGGGGUGCUAAUACCGGAUAAUGUCUUCGGACCAAAGAUUUAUCGCCUUUGGAUGGGCCCGCGUUGGAUUAGCUAGUUGGUAGGGUAAAAGCCUACCAAGGCGACGAUCCAUAGCUGGUCUGAGAGGAUGAUCAGCCGCACUGGGACUGAGACACGGCCCAGACUCCUACGGGAGGCAGCAGUGGGGAAUAUUGGACAAUGGGCGAAAGCCUGAUCCAGCAAUGCCGCGUGAGUGAUGAAGGCCUUAGGGUUGUAAAGCUCUUUUACCCGGGAUGAUAAUGACAGUACCGGGAGAAUAGGCUCCGGCUAACUCCGUG
RNAcentral lists this ribosomal RNA (433 nucleotides) under uncultured bacterium. Its description in RNAcentral is "partial 16S ribosomal RNA". It matches the Rfam family "Bacterial small subunit ribosomal RNA", at positions 29 to 507 of the family's 1533-position model. The record is from RNAcentral.